GACGAACGCUGGCGGCGUGCCUAAUACAUGCAAGUAGAACGCUGAAGCUUGGUGCUUGCACCGAGCGGAUGAGUUGCGAACGGGUGAGUAACGCGUAGGUAACCUGCCUGGUAGCGGGGGAUAACUAUUGGAAACGAUAGCUAAUACCGCAUGAUAUUGAUUAUUGCAUGAUAGUCAAUUAAAAGGUGCAAUUGCAUCACUACCAGAUGGACCUGCGUUGUAUUAGCUAGUUGGUGAGGUAACGGCUCACCAAGGCAACGAUACAUAGCCGACCUGAGAGGGUGAUCGGCCACACUGGGACUGAGACACGGCCCAGACUCCUACGGGAGGCAGCAGUAGGGAAUCUUCGGCAAUGGACGGAAGUCUGACCGAGCAACGCCGCGUGAGUGAGGAAGGUUUUCGGAUCGUAAAGCUCUGUUGUAAGAGAAGAACGAGUGUGAGAGUGGAAAGUUCACACUGUGACGGUAUCUUACCAGAAAGGGACGGCUAACUACGUGCCAGCAGCCGCGGUAAUACGUAGGUCCCGAGCGUUGUCCGGAUUUAUUGGGCGUAAAGCGAGCGCAGGCGGUUAGAUAAGUCUGAAGUUAAAGGCUGUGGCUUAACCAUAGUACGCUUUGGAAACUGUUUAACUUGAGUGCAAGAGGGGAGAGUGGAAUUCCAUGUGUAGCGGUGAAAUGCGUAGAUAUAUGGAGGAACACCGGUGGCGAAAGCGGCUCUCUGGCUUGUAACUGACGCUGAGGCUCGAAAGCGUGGGGAGCAAACAGG
Molecule: ribosomal RNA, 765 nt
Filed under: uncultured Streptococcus sp.
Lineage: Bacteria; Bacillati; Bacillota; Bacilli; Lactobacillales; Streptococcaceae
Description: bacterial SSU rRNA
Rfam family: Bacterial small subunit ribosomal RNA
Source: RNAcentral